RNAcentral lists this ribosomal RNA (468 nucleotides) under uncultured bacterium. RNAcentral's name for it is "partial 16S ribosomal RNA". It matches the Rfam family "Bacterial small subunit ribosomal RNA", at positions 28 to 507 of the family's 1533-position model. The record is from RNAcentral.
GACGAACGCUGGCGGCGUGCUUAACACAUGCAAGUCGAACGGAAAGGCCCUGCUUUUGUGGAGUGCUCGAGUGGCGAACGGGUGAGUAACACGUGAGUAACCUGCCCUUGACUUUGGGAUAACUUCAGGAAACUGGGGCUAAUACCGGAUAGGAGCUCCUGCUGCAUGGUGGGGGUUGGAAAGUUUCGGCGGUUGGGGAUGGACUCGCGGCUUAUCAGCUUGUUGGUGGGGUAGUGGCUUACCAAGGCUUUGACGGGUAGCCGGCCUGAGAGGGUGACCGGCCACAUUGGGACUGAGAUACGGCCCAGACUCCUACGGGAGGCAGCAGUGGGGAAUAUUGCACAAUGGGCGGAAGCCUGAUGCAGCAACGCCGCGUGCGGGAUGACGGCCUUCGGGUUGUAAACCGCUUUCGCCUGUGACGAAGCGUGAGUGACGGUAAUGGGUAAAGAAGCAUCGGCUAACUACGUG